CGACUGUCUGCGGCAGCAUCCACUUGGCACUGGGCACAACACGAACAGCGAGUCAUGUAUUGACUUAGCGGAGCAGCAUUCAAAUGCCACUUUCACCCACCUACGUCGAGGCUCUCAGGUACUUUAUCCGAUUUUGAGAUAUAUUAAUUAGUAUUGAUUCAAGUUCAUCCCACCGUAGUGUGACCGAUGAAAACAGCGCUGGCGCAGCACAGCUCAUUGAUCAGACGAUGAACAGCAGAUAGCAGACUGCAGCUCCAGCUCGAAAACAUCAUCACAUCCGUUCUUGUGAACUCCUCUCUCGAGUUCGAAGUAUCGGCAUUGUGGAUGGUUCAGCAGGACAGCAGGUUCAGGACAGCCCAAUAGAUGCUGCCCAGGCAAGCGGCAGUGACCCUCCUUCUAGAGCGAAUAGAGAAAGACCACAGUCUGAAUGGUCUUGCCGAGGCCCAUCUCAUCGGCUAGAAUGGUGUCGAUGGCCUGUCGAGGCUCUUCAG
Molecule: long non-coding RNA, 491 nt
Filed under: Drosophila guanche
Lineage: Eukaryota; Metazoa; Arthropoda; Insecta; Diptera; Drosophilidae
Source: RNAcentral